UACAGAGGAGCCAAGCGUUGUCCGGAUUGACUGGGCGUAAAGCGCACGCAGGCGGUUGCGCGCGUGGGGUGGGAAAUCUGGCCGCUUAACGGCCAGGCGCCAUCCCAUACGGCACAACUGGAGGGCUGCAGAGGUCGAUGGAAUUGCCGGUGUAGUGGUGAAAUGCGUAGAGAUCGGCAGGAACACCCAGGGGGAAACCAGUCGACUGGGCAGCACCUGACGCUGAGGUGCGAGAGCGUGGGGAGCGAACCGG
This 253-nucleotide ribosomal RNA is filed under the name uncultured bacterium. Its description in RNAcentral is "partial 16S ribosomal RNA". It matches the Rfam family "Bacterial small subunit ribosomal RNA", at positions 524 to 776 of the family's 1533-position model. The record is from RNAcentral.